This 440-nucleotide ribosomal RNA is filed under the name uncultured bacterium. RNAcentral describes it as "bacterial SSU rRNA". It matches the Rfam family "Bacterial small subunit ribosomal RNA", at positions 958 to 1398 of the family's 1533-position model. The record is from RNAcentral.
AACGCGAAGAACCUUACCUGGGCUCGAAGCGCAGUGGACCGGGGUAGAAAUAUCCCUUUCUCGCAAGAGACUGCUGCGGAGGUGCUGCAUGGCUGUCGUCAGCUCGUGUCGUGAGAUGUUGGGUUAAGUCCCGCAACGAGCGCAACCCUUGUCCUGUGUUGCCAUCAUUCAGUUGGGAACUCGCAGGAGACCGCCAGGGAUAACCUGGAGGAAGGUGGGGAUGACGUCAAGUCCUCAUGGCCUUUAUGUCCAGGGCUACACACGUGCUACAAUGGACGGUACAAAGGGCUGCCAACCCGCAAGGGGGAGCCAAUCCCAAAAAACCGUUCUCAGUUCGGAUUGCAGGCUGCAACUCGCCUGCAUGAAGCUGGAAUCGCUAGUAAUGGUGGAUCAGAACGCCACCGUGAAUACGUUCCCGGGCCUUGUACACACCGAGUAUA